Molecule: transfer RNA, 75 nt
Filed under: Planctomycetota bacterium
Lineage: Bacteria; Pseudomonadati; Planctomycetota
Description: Planctomycetes bacterium (activated sludge metagenome) tRNA-Asp
Rfam family: tRNA
About the family: Transfer RNA (tRNA) molecules are approximately 80 nucleotides in length. Their secondary structure includes four short double-helical elements and three loops (D, anti-codon, and T loops).
Source: RNAcentral
GCUCUCAUCGUCCAACGGCCAGGACACCAGAUUGUCGAUCUGGGAAUGCGGGUUCGAUCCCCGCUGAGGGCGCCA